CCCUGGGUGGGGCAGAGUUAACGUGCUUGGCUGCUAAUCAAAAGGUUGGUGGUUUAAGUCCACCCAGAGGGA
RNAcentral lists this transfer RNA (72 nucleotides) under Loxodonta africana (African savanna elephant). It matches the Rfam family "tRNA". Rfam says of the family: Transfer RNA (tRNA) molecules are approximately 80 nucleotides in length. Their secondary structure includes four short double-helical elements and three loops (D, anti-codon, and T loops). The record is from Rfam by way of RNAcentral. Lineage: Eukaryota; Metazoa; Chordata; Mammalia; Proboscidea; Elephantidae.